UGGUGGGUAGUUUGACUGGGGCGGUCUCCUCCUAAAGAGUAACGGAGGAGCACGAAGGUUGGCUAAUCCUGGUCGGACAUCAGGAGGUUAGUGCAAUGGCAUAAGCCAGCUUGACUGCGAGCGUGACGGCGCGAGCAGGUGCGAAAGCAGGUCAUAGUGAUCCGGUGGUUCUGAAUGGAAGGGCCAUCGCUCAACGGAUAAAAGGUACUCCGGGGAUAACAGGCUGAUACCGCCCAAGAGUUCAUAUCGACGGCGGUGUUUGGCACCUCGAUGUCGGCUCAUCACAUCCUGGGGCUGAAGUAGGUCCCAAGGGUAUGGCUGUUCGCCAUUUAAAGUGGUACGCGAGCUGGGUUUAGAACGUCGUGAGACAGUUCGGUCCCUAUCUGCCGUGGGCGCUGGAGAACUGAGGGGGGCUGCUCCUAGUACGAGAGGACCGGAGUGGACGCAUCACUGGUGUUCGGGUUGUCAUGCCAAUGGCACUGCCCGGUAGCUAAAUGCGGAAGAGAUAAGUGCUGAA
This 517-nucleotide ribosomal RNA is filed under the name Escherichia coli. Its description in RNAcentral is "partial 23S ribosomal RNA". It matches the Rfam family "Bacterial large subunit ribosomal RNA", at positions 2259 to 2775 of the family's 2925-position model. The record is from RNAcentral. Lineage: Bacteria; Pseudomonadati; Pseudomonadota; Gammaproteobacteria; Enterobacterales; Enterobacteriaceae. RNAcentral also lists the same sequence under 8 other names.